CUAAGGAAGCUGUGGAAUUGGAAGACGAUCGGUUCGCCGAUAUGACCUUUCCCGUGCUUUUUAGAACAUAGAUGGCACCAGUCAGGUGACCAUCGAAACGUAAUACGCCGCAGAGGUGCUUGCACCCUGACGGUAUGGCGAGACCCGCCGUCCACGUUUCUCUUUCUCACAAAGACAAGGACCACGCUGUUUUGGCUGUAGUUCACCCCGGAUGGGCCCGUAGCUCAGGUGGUUAGAGCGCACGCCUGAUAAGCGUGAGGUCGGCAGUUCGAGUCUGCCCGGGCCCACCAUUCGCCUACGGCUCAUGGUGAGCCCAGGCAGUCUCUUUAAGUUUGUUCUUCCUCGUGAUCUUCGAUCACUGCGGGGAGAACGGGCCGGGCCCGGCGGAGCUUUCCGUUUGGGUAUCGAAACCUGAUGGGGCUGUAGCUCAGCUGGGAGAGCACCUGCUUUGCAAGCAGGGGGUCAGCGGUUCGAUCCCGCUCAGCUCCACCAAGGUUUUGGUGUUGAUGCUGGGGGAUCUGUUCCUUGUCUUUGGGGAAAAUAAAGUUUGCAUCGUCUCUGCUGAGACUGAUGCCUGUUCUGCUAAAAUUGUGAAGAGAAGAUAUGUCUGGAAGCUUCCAGGUGUUGGCGGCGAUUGUCGAAAGGCGGUCGGUGUCGGCGUCCGAGCCCAGUCCUUUUGAAGCCAUCGAUGGUCUAGCCGACCGGAGAUGGAAGAGGGGCUGGAGGUAGGAGGGAAGUCUUGUCGUUCAGGGCAUGGAUGUUGUUGGGGUGUCCUUCGGGAUGCCCUUCUGGUGUUCAUGGCCGAUUGGUGUUGCCUGACCGCGCAUCACCGGACAGAUCUCGAGAAGCUGGUCUUAAGAUUUGGCGCAAGCGAACCGCUCGGCGUGGUUCCAAUAAAGCGACCAAAUCGAACACGUCGAUGGCAUCUGAUUGGCUCGGUUGUAAAAGGUAACCGGGUUUUUGGACUGGCGGUGCGGCAUACGAAAGUUGCCCGCAUGGCCAGAUUUGGCACCCCUUCGAGCGCGAGCGAGAAGGAAAGGUUUGCCAAAUCCAAAUAAGGAUGAGCAUUGGCAAUGAGAAC
Molecule: transfer RNA, 1081 nt
Filed under: Ensifer fredii
Lineage: Bacteria; Pseudomonadati; Pseudomonadota; Alphaproteobacteria; Hyphomicrobiales; Rhizobiaceae
Description: Sinorhizobium fredii miscellaneous RNA
Rfam family: tRNA (bases 214-287)
Source: RNAcentral